RNAcentral lists this long non-coding RNA (6568 nucleotides) under Sus scrofa (pig). Its description in RNAcentral is "lncRNA (ENSSSCG00000053279.1)". Lineage: Eukaryota; Metazoa; Chordata; Mammalia; Artiodactyla; Suidae. The record is from RNAcentral.
GGUGUCUCCAUUUAGCAUUCUAGCCUGUGAAAUCAUAACAAUUUCAUCUUAAAAAUUAGGAGCUAGUCAUGUUCUCUAAAUUUCUACUAUUGCCCUCCUUAAUUUCCUGACAAAAGAGGCUUUUAUAUUACUUUUUAAUAAAAUGAAAUUGAAAGUGUACUUCAACUAAAACUUUGGUGUCUCUCAGAUAUACUCUAUUUAGAAUUUGAUAAAUCAAAUUAUCCCUAGGGCUUUAGGAUUUUACUGAGAUAGGACUCCUAAUAAAACUUCUCCAAAGUAAUUGUGGGUGAGGUCUCUAUAGCAGCAUAUGAUUUUUGCCAGCUCCAUUUCUCUCUCCUGACAGAAAAUGGUCAUUUGGCAUCUCAAAUGCAAAGCCUAAGCAAGCUAGAACAUAAUCCUUCUAAAAAUCUGGAGCUUUAUCAAAAUGCUCAUUAAACUAUGUCUCUAAGUUUAACUUGCCAUUAAGAUUGCCAUUGUUAAAAGUACAAAAGGAUGCUUUUAUGAAGUAGAAAUAAUAUGUCUUCUUAGACAUAUGGCACUAGGGAAUGAGAUUUCUAGUUUUAUCUUUCUCUGCACAGUAUAUAUUCAUUUGAAAUAUCAUCUAGUUCAUUGACUUUUUUUUACUAAAUAAUAUUCCUCAACCACACCCAGCAAACAUUUCUAGCAUAAAAAAAGGGGUCAUAUGUCAGCUUAUAUAUUUAUAUUUAUCAGAACUUAUAACAGUAUUCCUUUCAUUAGAGACAUUACAAUUACAUAAUAAAAUAUUGUUUUCUUUCUUUUUUUCUUCCUUCCUUUCUUUCUUUCUUUUCUCAAGGUAAAUCUAUUUUAUUUUUUCAUCCUUAUACAAUGGGACUGGCUGCACAAUAAGCCAGUUGGAUUAACACCAUUUGUGAACCACAGGGACUGAGUUGCUGUGACAGUAGUUCAGCAAGGCUGCCUUUAAAAAUGGAAAGUGACUUUAAAAAUGGCAUUAAAAAAAGGCAUGACACAAAUACGAAUUGAGACACAUCUUCACUAGAGACUUGCAUAAGUAUUUAGAUUUCCAAUUUCCAGAUGUCAAACUAGUCAUAUAUUCCCUUUAAAAUUGUAUUAUAAUUACCAAAUGUGUCAGUCACUUUUGGCAGCUGGUAGUAAGUGCACUGCAUUUGAAUCUAACUUCUGAUAAAUAUAUGGUGUGAAUAUUUAUUCAUUACAUGGGGACUGAGUUUUUCUAGAACCUGCCCAGUUUUCUUUUCCAGAACAUUCACUGGGGCUGGAUUAAAGAAUGGAUAUUCUUUUGGAUCCAUGAUGAACUGGAUAAUGUUUUCAUUGUAUAGGAGCUACGUAGAAGUCAUUUGUAAUUGUAUAUACUUAAUACAGUCCCAUAUCUUCAAAUGCUAGAUGAAUAUUAGAUAAGUCCUCUGUUUUAAAAAAUGAAGAUUUCUUUCUCUUGAAAGUCUCUGUCACUCUUAGGAGAAUGUUAAUCCCAUGGUUUUCUUUUUCUCUUGAGAUUCAUUACAUAUCCAUUCAUACCUUCCCUUGUACAAGAAAGAAAAUACAUCUCAUAAAAUCUGGGCAACAGCUAUUAUAAUGCACUUCUCUAUGUGCAAAUGGAAAAAUAGGGAUUUUUUUCUUUACUGUCAGUGCUAUUUCAUUGAGAAUGUGAAAGUCAUGGGUAUUUGUUCUUGUAUUAGGACUAGAAAAUGUCCUUCAUGGAGACGGUUAUUUUGCCACUGUUGCAAACUGGGUGGGUAUGGGAUUGAGUAGCUUUAAGUAAAUGGUUUUUCCAGUAUUUCCAUUUUUCAAUUUAUCAAAUAGUGAAGUACACUAGUCUGUGAGGCUUUCCUUUCAUAGAAUAUCUAUGAUGUUUAUUUCCUCAAUCACACUGUUUUUGCUCCUCUCUCACCUCCUUAAACAAGCAGUCCAGAAGCCCCAUGGCUAUUACACAAGAAGAGUUCUUUCUUGGCAUCAAGCAUGGUCUGUCUGUCUGUCUCUCUUUUUAAAUUUAAAUUUCAGAUUUGGAGUUAGAAAAUAGGACAUUUGAAUCUGGACUAGUGCUUGUGGUAGUCACUUCGUGAUCUUGGGCAGCCAUACGAACCCUUUUAAUUUAAUCUAUAAAAAGACAAUAAUAUUAACAACCAUGAUAAGAAUAUCUAACAUAUGAGAUAGCUGAGGGGUCAAGGAAAUAGCCAUGUAAUUAUGAAAAGAAGUCACCAGCAAUAGACUUCUAAAUUAAUGGUCUUAACGUUCACUUCAUUUUCUUCUUCUAAAUGGCAGCAAGGAUUGUUCCUUUGAGCUGCACCAUUUAAGCCCCUCCUUUUUCCCUGUCAGACCAGAAAGAUCUGAUAAUGCUGCCCUUUUUAUACUCAGAGAGUGUGAGUUUUGUUUCUUCCAGCCUGGGGAGGUGAAGCUAAACUUUCAGGUCUCUACAUCCUGGAUGGAUAGUUGCAUUAUCAACAGGGAAUUCACAUGAGAUUGCAGGGAGAUACAAAUAUAUCUGUAUAGGUGUAUAGGAAAUCACCUCCUAGUAGAAAGAGCAUAAGCUUUAGAGCCAGACAGACCUGGAUUUGAAAACUAUCUUUACAAUGUACCAUGUACCAUGUACCAUGUACCAUGUACCAGAGCACUGUGUGAUCUUAAAAGUGUUACUUAACCUUCUUCAACCUCAGUUUCCUCACGGUCAAAGUGGAGAAUAAGAUGGAUUUGUAAAGCAGCAUACUGGACAGUCAGUCCAAAGUGGACACUGUUAUUCCCUUUCGUGGAAUGUGUGUUCAAAAGUUUGCUGAAUCUUUUUAACUUAGUGUUGUGAGGGGCAACAAGCAAUUCCUAGGGCUCUCAUACUUAAUAUGCUGCUAUCCUGAAUAGUCACAUUUGGGGGGACUUCCUCAGGGAGAAUGUGAAAUGGUAAUUCAGCUGAGAUUUUAGUGUAUGGAUUAGCUUUAUGUUCAUUUUCAGAGUGUGUAUAACCCUACACUUUCCACACCAAAAGAAUGAAAAGAGCAUUAUCUAGAGUUUGAGGAGCAUACAUGGUGCAGGGAUUUGGCAGCAGAGAUGUUUCUCCUGGAACUUCUAAAAUCCUUAAAUGCAGGAGGCCAAAUAUUUUUAAUUUUCAAAGGACAGAGGAAGUGAGAAAAGAAACUGCUUAUGGCUUUAAAUUCUUACCUAAAAGAAGCCUAUAUUUGAAGACAGAAAAAUCUGGAUUUUGAAUUCUCUUUACUGCUACAAGUCCUUGAUCAUAUAGUCACAUAGUUUUAUAUGAACUUUAUAGGAUAGCUUGUUGCUAUUUUCAAAGGAAUUAUGUCUUAGGGUAGUAAGUCUAAUUGAAGAAGUCCUUUAACAUAGUAACUGAACACUAAUUUAUGAUGAAUAAAUAAUCAGAUGACUGUUAAUUAAGACUUUUUGAGAACAGGAGAACCUCUGAAAUAUAGGAGGUAAGUAGGUAUUAUUUCUAAAUUUCGUUGAGUUUCAACUCACUAAUUAUAAAGUGGAGAUGAAUCUUCAAAUGCCAGAUAUGUAGUAAAAUAUCCUUGAAAAAGAUGGGAAAGCUAUGACAUAGAUUUUUAACCUGCAAUUCAUUAAAUUAUGAUGACUCCAAAGUGGUAACUAUUGGAUUUAAAAAAACUCAAAGAAGGAUUUUUGUGGCAAAAUAUAGGUCUUGUCCUUGGUUAUGUUUAGUCCUAAGUUCUUGCUUGUGCUUUUGUUUUUGACCAUGUGGAAGGGAUCAAACUCAAGCCUUAACUGCUAGGCCACAAGGGAAUUCCUACUUAGUCCUAAACUGAAUCAAUAAUUCAAAUGAAUAUAGAGAAAACAAAUUAUUAGCUUUUAGAUUACAAGUAAGAUUUAUUAAGAAAGUCUUUGUGCAAGUAUCUAAAUAAAAAAGGAUGGUAAACUGAAUAAAACAAAAUAUGUAUCUACAAAUGUCUUGAAUUCAUAAAACCAACCUGUGUAAGAACUCAUAGAAAGAUGCCUGACUCUAUCUAGUUAUAGAAAAUUACUUAGGAAUUACCAAAUACCUACCAUUUGCAGAACUGCUGCAUUUUGUAAAUUCAGAAGUAACAGCAUGAUGUAGCUCCUAGGAAACUUAAUAUUCUUUCAUGCUACGUUAAUAGUUGUGAAGUUACUCAGAACAAAGGUAUAAUUUAGCUUUUCAUUCUCAGGAGAAAGCAGAGUUCUCUUCACUUGGAGGCAUCCCAUCUUCAGAGGAACAAGAUUAAGUUGUUUGGCUUCCAUAUUAGAGUGAAGAAAAUUGCAGUCAGGUAGGGGUUAGCUAAAUAAAACAGAUGGUGGUAUCUUGUGGCAUUAAGACAUUUAGCCUUCCAAAGUCAAAAACCUAUCAAAAGCUGGAAUUUUAGGAUUCCAUGUCAGUGAGCCUGAACUUAGAGAAAGGCUUCAGCCCAUGUAUAAAACUGGAACUCUUUGUGAGUAAUCAGGGACAAGACCAGUUAUGCUUCUGGAAAAGUAAGUCAGAGAUUGGGGGAAAUUUGAACUUCUGAAAGUACUCAGUAGCUUAGGGCUCACCCCAAAGACCCACCAUAUACUGAGAUUAGAGCCAUGCAAUUAAUCUCAGAUUUCAUCUACUAAAAGGGAUGGUUCUCUUAAGAUACUGGCUAUCUUGGUUAAAGUUGGAUGGAGAAGGCACUAAAUUUGUAUAGGUUUGGCCUCAGGGACACCAUCUGAAUGCACUGAGGAGAAAAGGGCUGUUCAAAUUCCUUAUCGAGCAUUAGGUAGCAAGAUGCUCUUUGGGGAUUUAGAGAGGUUUUAUGACCACAGAAUUUGGUUUAGGAGAAAUGAUUGUUAAAUUUAUGAACUUUUGGAUAGACAGAUACUAAGACACUAUUCAACUUUAUUCUCUGAUUCCAUCCUCAACGUAGAGGUAAGCCUAGCUCUGUCGAGGCCCUUUAUUUUCCUUUAUGAUUUCUCUUUAUCCUGUAGACUUUGCCAAUACUUCAAGACAAAUCAUUUCCUAAGCACAUCAGCAGAAGAAAAAUUUCUUUCUCUCUUUUUUUUUUUUCCUUUAGAGAGAUACAGAGUGACCUACAACACUUGGCAAGUGCAUAGUUUCUCACACGAGGUAAAUUCAAAGAGAUUUUGAGGAUGGCGCAAUUGAGUCAGUUGGGAAUGAAGAAUAAUAUGCCUUAUAGAAUACCCAAAAGUCAGAUAGAAUAAGAGGCAAAAUGGAAUAGUCUGUUGAUCUUGGUACAUCCAGCUGUGCUCAGAACAGAUAACAUGAGGGCAUUGGUCUGAGAAGAUAAGGCUGCCUCCUUUUUUUUUUUUUUUUUUUUAAGCAGUUCUAUUGUGAAGGCAAGGUCGAAUACACUGAUAAAACAGCAAAAACUUGAGUCAAAUUGCAAAGACUACAAGGUCUUUUCCUGGAUGCUAAUUAAUGUUAUCAUGGGAGAUGGCUAAAAUGAGACUAUUACCUACUAGUAAAUUAAUAGGAUAUGCUGCAACAUACCACAAGGGAGGAAUUGCCUAUGCUAAUAUAGUAUAAAAGAGAUUGCCAGUGGCAAAUGGUUCAUGGUAGAGUUUUCUACAUUAUGUAUAAACUCUAAGAGAUAUGACUUAAAGUAUGCCAUGAAUCUUUAAUUGAGAGAAAAUCAUUUGCACAGGAUAAAGUGUGAUGGCAAACCCACAUGUCCUUUUUCAUUAUCUAUACUGAAUGUUGAUUGUGAACCAUUUGAAAAGAAUAUGUUGCACAAUGCCGCAAUCAAAUCAGCUCAGUAACAUAUGUGUCUAUAUUUGCUAUGGAAGUCAGCAGUUUCUCUCUUUCCUCAGAGCUGUCACCUUUGACUGGUCUAAUUGCUAACUGCAGUUACAUGGAACUUAAACUGGGUUGAUUCAUUGAUGUAAUUCCCAGAAAAGCCAAGAAAAAAUCUAUUUCAAUGAUCUUGGAAGUGAGACUUCACUUUUUUAAUUGUAAAUUCAAUUUUUAUUUGAUUUGCCUAAAAAAUUGAGAGAGGAGAUAAGAAGGCCUUGAAAGGAUGGAGAAAAUGAAAAGAAUGAAAAUAAAAAUAAUAAUGAAUGAAAAAGAAAUAUAUUCUGAGAGGCUGACAUCACCAUUCACAGGCUGAGUCUUAGACCUGCAGCUCUAAAGUGUAGUGAAGUAAAUUUAUUAACUUUCAAUAUUCAACCUAUAGGGCCUAUUUAUUAGCAAUUUUAAAAAGAAGAUAAUGAGUACAUACUUUUCUAUUGUCUUCUCAUUUUCCCAGAAUCCAAAUCUGUGAGGUCAUAUCCUUCUUAAUUUGUUUUUGUUUGUUUGUUUGCCUGAUACAAUUAAUUGGCCAACUAAAUUCUAUGUAUUCUUUUGUCCAUAUUGUUUAAAGUCCCUGGUCAUUCAUUCUGUUGUUAUCUUUGACCUUGUAGUUUUUAUUUUACCAAAGUCAUCAUGUUCUUUUUUAAGUUUUCAUCAGCAGCUGCCCUUCCUCAUCUUAUUCAACUUCUCUCUGGCAUUUACUCUGGCAUUUACUCCUGCUUUUCAGGUCCUAUGAUUUCUGUACCUCCACACCUACAUCUUCUUGAUUUUUCUCCCAUUUUUUUCUUAGUUUUUGCCUUCUUAAUUGAAAUAACUGUUUCUUUGCACACUUCAAAA